CCCUUAGAUGUUCUGGGCUGCACGCGCGCUACACUGACGCACGCAACAGGUGCCUGCUCCGAGAGGACUGGGUAAUCAUUUGAGUGUGCGUCGUGAUGGGGAUAGAAUAUUGUAAUUAUUACUCUUCAACGAGGAAUUCCUAGUAAGCGCCAGUCAGCAGCUUGCGCUGAUUACGUCCCUGCCCUUUGUACACACCGCCCGUCGCUCCUACCGAUGGGUGAUCCGGUGAAUGAUUCGGACUUCAGCGGCUCCCCCGGGGUGCGCCGGAGAAAGUUUUGUGAACCUUAUCACUUGGAGGAAGGAGAAGUCGUAACA
Molecule: ribosomal RNA, 315 nt
Filed under: uncultured eukaryote
Lineage: Eukaryota
Description: partial 18S ribosomal RNA
Rfam family: Eukaryotic small subunit ribosomal RNA
Source: RNAcentral